Molecule: long non-coding RNA, 469 nt
Filed under: Elaeis guineensis (African oil palm)
Lineage: Eukaryota; Viridiplantae; Streptophyta; Magnoliopsida; Arecales; Arecaceae
Description: long non-coding RNA (EGUI_LNC000742)
Source: RNAcentral
CAUGCUUACAUACGUGCGGUAAUUUAUUUCUUAAUAGAUAUUUUCGAAGCAUGUACAAUCAUAAUUUUUUUCAUGAUCGAUCUGAUUAUAGAAGUUUUAUCUCAAAACUAAAGUGAGAUCCGAUUCAUUUGAGGAGUGCGGUGGUUUAGAAUAUGAAAUUUUUAUUUUACCCUCUCUUCAAAUAGAAAUAAGGGCGCAUAUAGUUUUUCAUUGAGGACAUGAUUGGCUAGAAAGAGUUUGAUCGAUUUCAUAAAAAAAUGAAGAUGUUCUAAUAUCUCCAAAUCUAAUCUCUACUUUUUUUUCAUAUUUAAAUUUCGUUUUGAUUUCGCUUACGAAUCAAAUACGCUAAGAGAUAUAUGGCUAUUCCAAUUUUCAUUCUAAUUCCAAUUCUAAUUAUAAACCAAAUACAUCUUUGACUACAAGCUACAUAACUUAGGGAUGGCUUUCUUCUGAUAUGAUAAAGCUCGCC